AUGGGUGGUUCUAGGAGAUUUAAUGAGAUUUUAUAUUCCUCGGAGAAAGAGGGGGGCAAUGCCAGACCAAAUGGAAUGAUGAAGGACUUUCGUGAUUGUCUAGCAGAAUGUGGCUUGGCUGAUAUGGGGUUCAUAGGCGACCCAUUUACAUGGAGGAGAUGUGAGAUUAGGGAACGUCUUGACCGUGCAGUAUGUAAUGUAUGGGCGCAUAAAUUUCCUCGGGCGGCUGUGAUUAAUGAAAACCAUGUACAUUCUGACCACCGGCCGUUAGUUUUGGAUAUGGAUUAUUUUGACGGUAAUAUGUUUAGGCCACUCAACAGGGGUAUUAAAAAAAUUUGA
Molecule: ribosomal RNA, 339 nt
Filed under: Triticum aestivum (bread wheat)
Lineage: Eukaryota; Viridiplantae; Streptophyta; Magnoliopsida; Poales; Poaceae
Description: partial small subunit ribosomal RNA
Source: RNAcentral